CGAGCGGCGGACGGGUGAGUAAUGUCUGGGAAACUGCCUGAUGGAGGGGGAUAACUACUGGAAACGGUAGCUAAUACCGCAUAACGUCGCAAGACCAAAGAGGGGGACCUUCGGGCCUCUUGCCAUCAGAUGUGCCCAGAUGGGAUUAGCUAGUAGGUGGGGUAACGGCUCACCUAGGCGACGAUCCCUAGCUGGUCUGAGAGGAUGACCAGCCACACUGGAACUGAGACACGGUCCAGACUCCUACGGGAGGCAGCAGUGGGGAAUAUUGCACAAUGGGCGCAAGCCUGAUGCAGCCAUGCCGCGUGUAUGAAGAAGGCCUUCGGGUUGUAAAGUACUUUCAGCGGGGAGGAAGGCGUUGAGGUUAAUAACCUCAGCGAUUGACGUUACCCGCAGAAGAAGCACCGGCUAACUCCGUGCCAGCAGCCGCGGUAAUACGGAGGGUGCAAGCGUUAAUCGGAAUUACUGGGCGUAAAGCGCACGCAGGCGGUCUGUCAAGUCGGAUGUGAAAUCCCCGGGCUCAACCUGGGAACUGCAUUCGAAACUGGCAGGCUAGAGUCUUGUAGAGGGGGGUAGAAUUCCAGGUGUAGCGGUGAAAUGCGUAGAGAUCUGGAGGAAUACCGGUGGCGAAGGCGGCCCCCUGGACAAAGACUGACGCUCAGGUGCGAAAGCGUGGGGAGCAAACAGGAUUAGAUACCCUGGUAGUCCACGCCGUAAACGAUGUCGACUUGGAGGUUGUGCCCUUGAGGCGUGGCUUCCGGAGCUAACGCGUUAAGUCGACCGCCUGGGGAGUACGGCCGCAAGGUUAAAACUCAAAUGAAUUGACGGGGGCCCGCACAAGCGGUGGAGCAUGUGGUUUAAUUCGAUGCAACGCGAAGAACCUUACCUACUCUUGACAUCCAGAGAACUUUCCAGAGAUGGAUUGGUGCCUUCGGGAACUCUGAGACAGGUGCUGCAUGGCUGUCGUCAGCUCGUGUUGUGAAAUGUUGGGUUAAGUCCCGCAACGAGCGCAACCCUUAUCCUUUGUUGCCAGCGGUCCGGCCGGGAACUCAAAGGAGACUGCCAGUGAUAAACUGGAGGAAGGUGGGGAUGACGUCAAGUCAUCAUGGCCCUUACGAGUAGGGCUACACACGUGCUACAAUGGCGCAUACAAAGAGAAGCGACCUCGCGAGAGCAAGCGGACCUCAUAAAGUGCGUCGUAGUCCGGAUUGGAGUCUGCAACUCGACUCCAUGAAGUCGGAAUCGCUAGUAAUCGUAGAUCAGAAUGCUACGGUGAAUACGUUCCCGGGCCUUGUACACACCGCCCGUCACACCAUGGGAGUGGGUUGCAAAAGAAGUAGGUAGCUUAACCUUCGGGAGGGCGCUUACCACUUUGUGAUUCAUGACUGGGGUGAAGUCGUAACAAGGUAACCGUAGGGGAACCUGCGGUUGGAUCACCUCCUUA
Molecule: ribosomal RNA, 1444 nt
Filed under: Enterobacter roggenkampii
Lineage: Bacteria; Pseudomonadati; Pseudomonadota; Gammaproteobacteria; Enterobacterales; Enterobacteriaceae
Description: bacterial SSU rRNA
Rfam family: Bacterial small subunit ribosomal RNA
Source: RNAcentral